AGGAUUAUAGUUUAUUUAUUAAAACAAUUGAUUUGCAUUCAAUCAUAAUUAAUUUAUUUAAUUAAUCUUA
This 70-nucleotide transfer RNA is filed under the name Megalodontes quinquecinctus. RNAcentral's name for it is "tRNA-Ala". It matches the Rfam family "tRNA". From Rfam's summary of the family: Transfer RNA (tRNA) molecules are approximately 80 nucleotides in length. Their secondary structure includes four short double-helical elements and three loops (D, anti-codon, and T loops). Further hydrogen bonds mediate the characteristic L-shaped molecular structure. tRNAs have two regions of fundamental functional importance: the anti-codon, which is responsible for specific mRNA codon recognition, and the 3' end, to which the tRNAs corresponding amino acid is attached (by aminoacyl-tRNA synthetases). tRNAs cope with the degeneracy of the genetic code in two manners: having more than one tRNA (with a specific anti-codon) for a particular amino acid; and 'wobble' base-pairing, i.e. permitting non-standard base-pairing at the 3rd anti-codon position. Lineage: Eukaryota; Metazoa; Arthropoda; Insecta; Hymenoptera; Megalodontesidae. The record is from RNAcentral.